This 871-nucleotide long non-coding RNA is filed under the name Elaeis guineensis (African oil palm). RNAcentral's name for it is "long non-coding RNA (EGUI_LNC058367)". Lineage: Eukaryota; Viridiplantae; Streptophyta; Magnoliopsida; Arecales; Arecaceae. The record is from RNAcentral.
CCUCAGAAUGCCGUCGAGAGUGCAAGAUGACAUAGGUACAAGCUCGCCAUUGGCACACAAUAUCUCUCACACAAAGACGAGAAGUGCUAGAUGCCAUAGGCACAAGAUCGCCGUAGGUACACAAUGCCACUUGUGAGGAUUAACUAACUAGACCCUCGAGAAGACCUCAGCGACUCUGAAGUGGAGCUAACUUACUAGACUGCUACAAAGCCCGAGUUGCAUGAGAAGUGGAGGGAGACCUUUGAGAGAACCUCUGGAGGGAUAACUAAUCAGACCCUCAAAAUACCGUUGAGAGUGCAAGAUGCUAUAGGUACAAACUCGCCGCUAGCACACAAUGCCUCUCGCACGAAGACGAGAAGUGCUAGAUGUUGUAGGCACAAGAUUGCCGUAGGCACACAAUACCACCGUGAUGGUUAACUAACUAGACCCUCGAGAAGACUUCAGUAACUUCGAGAUGAGGCUAACUUACCAGACCCCUGCAGAGCCCGAGUCGUGCGAGAAGCGAAGAAAGACCCUUGAGGAAAUCUCCAGAGGGAUAACUAAUUAGACCCUCGGACUGCUGUCGAAAGUGCAAGAUGCCGUAGGCACAAGCUCUCUGCUGGCACACAAUGCCUCUCGCACAAAGACAAGUAGUAAAUAUCGUAGGCACAAAAUCGCUGCAGGCACACAAUGCCACUCAUGAGGGCUAACUUAUCAGACUCUCAAUAAGAUCUCAACGACUCUGAGGUGGAGCUAACUUACCAGACCCCUGCAGAAUUCGAGCUGCACAAAAAGCAGAGGAAGAUCCUUGAGUGAACUUCCAGAGGAAUAACUAAUCAGACCCUCGGAAUGCCACCGAGAGUGCAAGAUGCCAUAGGCACAAGCUCACCGC